Molecule: non-coding RNA, 97 nt
Filed under: Methylobacterium sp.
Lineage: Bacteria; Pseudomonadati; Pseudomonadota; Alphaproteobacteria; Hyphomicrobiales; Methylobacteriaceae
Also listed under: 1 other name
Description: Glycine sequence
Rfam family: Glycine riboswitch aptamer
About the family: This family represents the bacterial glycine riboswitch.
Source: RNAcentral
CAAUCUGGAGAGAGGCGCCUGAGGGCGUCCACCGAAGGAGAAAUCCUGGCGUCGUUUCGGCGUCUGGGAGAAGCUCUCAGGUAACCGCGACAGAUGG